GGCCCUCCUGGAUAAGACAGGAUGAUAUCCUCAUCUCAAGACCUUUAACUUAGUUGCAUUUGCAAAGACCCCUUUCCAAGUAAGGUGACAUUCACAGGUUCUGGUAAUUAGGACAUAAGCAUUUAUUUAGGGGCCGCUAUUCAACCCACUGUAGAGUUUUUUGCAUAUUAUAUUCACUUGUGGCUUCUCUAAUCAAGAGAUUAGGGUAAACUCUUAUCUGGUCUGACCUUGGGACUUGCUUUGACCAGUAGAAUGCAGCAGACAUGACAUUCUAGGACUUUUAGGUCCAGUCCUACAAUGGUCACAUAGCCUCUGCUUUUGAUCAGAGGGAAAAACAGCUGCUAUGUAAGGAAGUUCACUUAUUGUCCUGGAGAGAGUGGCUACAUGGAGAGAAAAAAAACCUCUGAAGCAUGAAACACUAUGGAGGGAUGGAGAAAGAGACCCAGCCAGCCCCUGAACUAAAGGUAAAAACUGGAAGAACAACGGGACUAUUUAUGGAGGUUAGAAGAGCAAUAAGCAAAUUAUUAUUGGAGACUGGAGAAGAAUGCCCAAUAUUAAAUAGUGGGGAAACAUUUGACAAAACUAUUAUGUGCAAGAAUAUAAAGAUAAAAAAUAUACCUAAGGAGUCUGUGGAACUGGCUAAGCAGGUUUCCAGGCAGAAUUCUGAAUGUGCCAAUUGGCUUCCAAUAUGGUUUAUCUGUGUCCCCACCCAAAUCUCAUCCUGAAUUGUAACUCCCACAAUUCCCACGUGUGGAGGGAGGAACCUGAUGGGAGGUAAUUGAAUUAUGGGGGCGGGUCUUUCUUGUGCUGUUCUCAUGAUAGUGAGUCUCAUGAGAUCUGAUGGUUUUAAAGACAGGAGUUUCCUUGCACAAGCUCUCUUCUCUCAUCUGCUGCCAUGAGACAUUCACCUUCCACCAGGAUUGUGAGGCUGUCCCAGGCAUGUGGAACUUUAAGUUCAUUAAACUUUUUUUUUUUAACGGGAGGAAGGCAUUUUUCAAAUCAGGUGGAGACACGCAGUCACAGGAGGUGGGUCCAGGCAGGGGCUGCUCGCUGUCCACACCCACCUCCCCAUCUGGACACAACUGUAGGAAGAGCAUCCCCUGGCUGACAGCGUUCACAGCAGGUGCAGUGAUGCACGGUGACUCCACUGUAACGUCCUGGGGCAGGUAGGGGUGGAUGCUGCAGCGCCGGCUAAAUGCAGGCAACAGGGCCACCUGCAGGGUUCCGGCAGCUGUUCCUGCCCUCUCGCAGCAAGCUGAGCAGGCCUCCAUAGGAAGAUGUCUGCUUGGGCGGGACACCGAAGAACAGCUGUCCUAUGCAGUCGAGGUACUUCGUUGUACAUAGGGUCCCGCCGGAGGGAUGGCUGGUACUGCUCACAUAGCACGGUGAACACCGUUAGCUUUCCGCCAUCCACAGCCAGCCGCAGGAACCAGAUGAAGUUGAGCAGCGGCUCCAUGAAGUUGAGCAGCGGCUGCCAUCCUCGAUGGACGGGUGCUUCUGGGUGUACGUCGUGAAGACCACAGAUGCGCUACUUUUGUUUUUUAAACAGAGAAACUGUAGCACGGCCUGGGCCACAAACAUGUCCACCUCGCUGCGGAAGCCCCGGGAUGUGGAUUUUGUUGUAAAUUGUCCAGUCUUGGUUAUGUCUUUAUCAGCAGCAUGAAAACAGACUAAUUGGUACCAGUAGAGUGGGGCACUGCUGAAAAGAUACCCAAAAACGUGAAAGCAACUUUAGAAAUGGGUAACAGGCAGAGGUUGGAACAGUCUGGAAGGCUCAGAAGAAGACAGGAAAAUGUGAGAAAAUUUGGAACUUUCUAGAGACUUGUUGAAUAGCUUUGCCAAAAAUGCUGAUAGCAACAUGGAAAAUAAUGUCCCUGCUGAGGUGGUCUCAGGUGGAAACAAGAAACUUGUUAUAGGAAUGGGAACAAAGGUGUUUCUUAUUAUGUUUUAGCAAAGAGACUGGUGGCAUUUUGCCCCUGCCCUAGAGAGGUAUGAAACUUUGAACUUAAGAGACAUGAUUUAGGGUAUCUGGCAGAAGAAAUUUCUAAGUAGCACAUCAUUUAAAAGGUGACUUGUGUGUUGUUAAAAGCAUUGAGUUUUAUAAGAGAAGCAGAGCAUAAAAGUUCAGAACAUUUGUAGCCUGACAAUUCAAUAGAAAAGAAAACCCCAUUUUCUGAGGGAAAAUUCAAGCUGGCUGCAGAAAUUUGCAUAAGUAACUAGGAGCUGAAUGUUAAUCCCCAAGACAAUGGGGUAAAUGUCUCCAGGACAUGUCAGAGGUCUUCAUGGCAGCCCCUUCCAUCAGAGGCCUGGAGGGCUAGGAGGAAAAAGUGGUUUCAUGGGUGGGGCCCAAGGUACCCAUGCUGAUUGCAGCCUAGGCCAUGGCUCAGGCUGUGGCUUCCGAGGGUGCAGGCCUCAUGUUCUGGCAGCUUCCAUGUGGUGUUGAGCCUGCCAAUGCACAGAAGUCAAGAAUUGGGGUUUGGGAAUCUCUGCCUAGAUUUCAGAGGAUGUAUGGAAACACCUAGAUAUUCAGGCAGAAGUUUGCUGCAGGAGUGGGGAUCUGAGGGAACCUCUGCUAGGGCAGUGAGGAAGAUAAAUGUGUGGUUGAAGCCCCCACACAGAGUCCCGACUGUGGCAAUGUGUAGUUGAGCUGUAAGAAGAGGGCCACCAUCUUCCAUCCCCCAGAUUCACCCACAGCUUGCACCGUGCACCUAGAAAAACCACAGACACUCAAUGCCAGGCAUGAAGGCAGCCAGGAGGGGGACUAUACCCUGCAAAGCCACAGAGGUGGAGCUUCCCAAGACCAUGGAAACCUACCUCUUGCAUCAGUGUGACCUGGAUGUGAGACUGGAGUCAAAGGAGAUCAUUUUGGAGCUUUAAGAUUUGACUGACCCACUAGAUUUUAGACUUGCAUGGGGCCUAUAGCCCCUUCGUUUUGGCCAAUUUGUCUCAUUUGGAAUGGCUGUUUUUACCCAAUGCCUGUACCCCAUUGUAUCUAGAAAGAAACUAACUUGCUUUUGAUUUUACAGGCUCAUAGGUGGAAGGAACUUGCUUUGUCCUAGAUGAAACUUUGGACUAUGGACUUUUGAGUUAAUGCUGCAAUGAGUUAAGACUUUGGGGGACUGUUGGGAAGGCAUGAUUCAUUUUGAAAUGUGAGGAAAUGAGAUUUGGGAGGGACCAGGGACACGUUGGUAUGUUUUGGCUGUGUUCCUACCAAAAUCUCAUCUUGGAUUGUAACUCCCACAAUUCCCAUCGUCAUGGGAGGAACCUGGUGGGAAGUGAUUGAAGUAUGAGUGUGGGUCUUUCUUGUGCUGUUCUCUAGAUAGUGAAUAUCUCAUGAGAUCUGAUGGUUUUAGAAAAUGGGAGUUUCCCUGCAUACACCCUCUUCUCUUGUCUGCUGUCAUGUGAGUCAUGCCUUUCACCUUUCACCAUGAUUUUGAGGUCUCUCCAGCCACAUGGAACUGUAAGUCCAUUAAACCUCUUUGUUUUGUUAUAAAUUGCCCCGUCUUGAGUAUGUCUUUAUAGCAGCAUGAAAAUGAACUAAUACAGCCUCUUAUUACUUACAUAUUAUAAGGCAUUACAAAAAUGAUAUUGACUAAAGAGGAAUGAUUCCAUUUUCAAGUCAAAUUCAGAGAAAAUAUUUCCAACCGAGGGCUUGCUAAGUUGUAAAAUAAAAUAUUUUCUCUUUCCACAUUCUUGAGUUAGAAAAAUGUUCUGAAAGUGAGAAAGGGCCCCAGGAAAAAGAUAGAAUUCAGGACAUUGUCAAUAAGACAUAGCCUUAGCGUAAAGAUCACAUCAACAGUGUAGUACAAGAACCCUAAUUUAACUCAGUGCCUUGUCAACCUUCUCAGCUAAACAAAACAGCUUGUAACAAUUUUAAAAGUAUUGUUCCACAACACUGACUCAAAGCCUGCAUUAGAGAGGGGCUUGUCUUGAAGAGAUUUGUAUGUGUGACUUUUUCACUUAUAAUUUGAUUUAUUUGAUUUCAGAUUUAGACUUUGAUACACAGAAAGCACAUUACAUUUCUUAAGGUUUAUAUCAGCUCAAACUAAAAAGUACAUGGAAGGUGCAAAAUGAAAAAAGGUAAUUUUUUCAUUUCAUUGUUCUCUGAGCCCUCAACUUGCUUUGCAAAAGGUAGACUAAGACAGCUGCAUGAUGGCAAACGUGAAAAAUUUCUUGGUAACAAAGGAAAUAUGAUUCAGAGGGUAGAGCCCAGAGCCCAGCAGACAAAAAUAUAAGCUAUUAGAAGCAAUGAAUUAGCUAAUCAUUUCUAUAUAGCAAAACUGAACCCAAAUCAAGAAACAUUCCUUGCCUCCAGAUUAGGGGACACUGAUAAGAUAAGCCUGGCUGUAUUACAGAAUUGCUAUUGGGUGCUGACUACUAUGUGCCUUCAUUUCUCCAUGUUAUAAAUGAGUGUCUAAUGUGGUUAUUCUGUUCUGUCUUAACACUAUAUUGCUGGGCAUGGAGGUACAGAUAACUUGCGUUUUUGCUUCAUAGUUCAUAUCAAAAGGAGCUGCAUGUAUGAAAUUUCAUGCACAUCCAUAUGAUCCCAAUUGCAGAUCAAGAGAUACUGGGCAUUGAAUUUGAUACAAUUUGUUGAGACUUCAGGGGUCUUUGGAGCAGUUGACUUUAUGUGGAUUUUUGUAGCCAGAGAGCAGACUGUGGAAGAUUGUAUGUAACUAUGGUCAGUAAGAUGUAUUUGUGCACUUGCCAGUUCUCUGACCAAGAGAGUACGUGUGUUUACCCACACCUUGAAUCUGCACAGAACUUGUGAUAUUUUUGACAAGUUUAAUGCAGCAGAAGUCGUAUUCUUGGAUUUUUGAGCCCAGAUAUUCUAAUGUUGUACAGCUUCUUUUUUAGCUCAGAGAGGAAACAAGAAGCUACAUAAAGAAUCCAUGUAAAGAGAGAGCAUGUGCAGGAAAAGAGGCCCCAGAGUAUAAGAGCCUAUGAAGGGAGAGAGAGAGAGAGGAUCAGCCAGGUCCCAGUCACUUCUGUCAAACAUUUGAGAAACAUGACAUGUAUAAAACUAUCAUGGAUUCUCCAACCAAUGUACAUGCUGCAGAAAUGAGCUUUCCCUUUUGAGCACUGCUUGAAUUCCUGAACAAUAGAACUGUGAGAGUUAAAUGAUUGUUUUAAGUCAAUAGUGUGAAGCAGGUUCACUGUGCACUGGUUACCAAGUUGUUUGAGUCCAGUGAGAAAGAACACUCACAUACAAGUUCAUGAAGCAGGCUUAUUACUUACAGAUAGUGAGCAAGGGACAUCAGAAGCCUAGGAUUCACUAUGAACCAGUCCCCUCUCUACAGGCGGCAGAGGGGUGUCAUACACCCAUAACUAAGUACAUGCUUUAUUUUAAAGAGUGCAGUUUACUUUGCUGGGAAUUAACAGCAAAGAAAAGAGAAGGUAUUGAGUCCCUAGUAAUUGUAGAGUUUACAAAAAGUGAAUUGAUGAUUGCCAUUAAAUAAACUAUGUAUCACAAAACAAUGUCAACUAGAUGAAUAAACAAAAUGACUGGGGAGUGACAGCGAGCAGGAGAUUUGUGUCUCUAUUAAGUAAAACAGAGAUGAUUUUUCUUGCAAAUGGUCUUUUUGGAAAACUUGACACAAGUGAACAUGGACAUUUUUGUCACUUCUUCCUUGAAACCAUGCAAAUAUGCAACUGAAAGACAGGGUAUGAUGCAGGUUAAUAAUACAAAUCACCAAGCUCAUUAUCACUGAGAAUCAUAAAGAUGCAGAGAGAACACACAUCUUAACCAAUUGGAACUACUUAGCAUGGUUUUCACAGUUAAAUAUUAUAGUUCUAUGAUAAAUAGAUCAAAAACUUUGAUAAUAAAAUUAUUUUAUAGAUUUGUCACUUGUAUGAAAUAAUGCACCUGUGCCUUCAGUAUUUCUUACUGAUGAUUUCUUUUCUUUUUUUCUGUCAAUAUGUCAUAUUUCAGUUUUGACAUUUUAAAGCCUUUGGUUUGAUGAGAGGUUUUUCACCCUGGAAAAAUGCAUGUGGUUGGAUUCUGGAAGAGUAACGGGUUUGUUCUUGGGUCCAUUGGGAUGAAAAUGAUAGUAGUGAGAGAUAAGAGGAGAACCACCAGAGGGAUAUCCUGUAGGCAGGUAUGUUUAGGAAAGAGAACAUAUGGAGGGUAAGAAGUUGGAUUCUUAAAAAUAUAUAUUUAAUAAGUUCAGCUUUUAUUUUAGAUUCAGGUACAUGUGCAAGUUUUUUACAUGGGCAUAUUGUGUGAUGCUGAGGUUUAGGGUGUGAAUGAUCCCAUCGCUCAAGCAGUGGGCAUAGUACCCGGAAGGUAGACUUUCGGCCUCUUGCCUCCCUCCCCCCACCCCCUAGUAGUCUCCAGUGCCUAUUCCCAUGUUUAUGUCCAUGAGUAUCCAACGCUUAGCUCCCACUUAUAAGUGAGAACAUGCGGUAUUUGGUUUUCUGUUCUUGCCUUAAUUCACUGAAGAAACUGGAUUCUCUAAAGCCACUCCACACCCAACUAAAGUCUCUUAGGGCAAGUUUGCACGUACUCUGAUAUACCCAGACUCUUUUGAAGAGUGCUAGUUCACAUUAUCUUACAUUUGGUAAUCAAGCUUUUUAAUUGUUUAUCCACAAUGGGUUAAUAGGCACUACACUGUCAUAGCCUGCAGUGUUGAUGUAUUCAUUUCUGCCCAGGAAGGCUAUUUUGUGUGAGUCUCAUUUUUGUGACUUUAAAUUAGAUGAGACUUCAAAUUUACACAUUUUCUUCUAUCUCUCUGUGCUUUAUUACAUGGUUAAGUGCUUUAAGAUUUAUUGAAUCCAGUUGUUUUAUUUCUCAGUAAUCACCAGAACUCACCUAAUUUGAUUAUGCCAAUCUGUUAUUUUCAAGAAUUGUUUUUUUAAAAUUUCCUUUCCCAGUUAAUAUUGUAUUUGUGGCUUUCUUGAUUUAAAAAUAUAUUAAGAAAUAUAAUUUUAUGAAAGAUCAUUUGAAAAAGUUUGCUGAAGCAUUUUUUUCCUUAGGCUAUAACAAAGCUUAAUAACAAAGAAUGUAUUCUAGAGUAAUUUUUGGGGCAAAUUCUAAAACACAUUGCUUGCAGUGAUCUCCACCCUUUCCUCAUGAAUACAAAGUCGUGUGUUUCUGUUUUUCUGGGUAUAGAAGCGGAUAGCAGAAUGAUGUAACUCCUUAUUCACAACAUCCUUGCAGCCCCACAUUAAAAACAUUUUUGCUUAAAUAAUGAGCAUUUUUGCUCGUCCAUAAAGAACCCACAUGAGACACAAAAAAAUGUUUUUCCCAGAUGGUCCUUUUUGCAUUAAAAUUACUAACUCAGACAUCAAAAGCAAACAAUAAAAGUGUUGAAAUAUGUAAUUUGGGCCAAAACAACAGAGCCUUGAACUUCCAUGGGCUUUGCAAUUUUAAGAGAACAGCUGGGUGUGCGCAGGCAGUCAGCCCAGCUAUGACUCUCAGCCUUGUGUUUCUUUCUCUAUAUAGUCACUAUGGGUACAGUUUCCUUCUUUUGGAAAUGGAAGCAUGGUUAUAAUCAUUCUUGAACUUGAGAAAGGCAUAGGGAUUUCCUUACCUUUUAUAAAGGGGGAAAACUGUUUUUAGUAUUUAUGGUGUAUCAGUUGUUUUUGUUUUGCUAUUCAUUUGCCUUUUUUUGCUGGUAAAAUAACCAGUAUUUUUCUUGGGGAACUACCUCUUCACAGAAUCAACCAUUGGGUGUUCCAGAAGACAUAUAGCCUAGAUUUCAAGUCCUCUAGGAAUCAGCCAUAUCUAAUCUAAUCACAACUUCAAUCAUUCUUUUCUGGAUACAGCCACAGAGCUGGAGGUACUGACCCAAGGAAGUUUCAGUAUCAGCCGUGCACUAAGUCCAGAAUGAGUGCUUCCUCUGUCUGAUUAAGGCCCUGACACUGAAUUAGGGUCGUCAAUGCAGGCUCUUCUCCCUUAUCGCAAAUACUGUCUUGGGAUUUAAUUGUCUUUGCUGGUCAUCUCCACCAGGGCUUUGGAGGCCCAUUAGGCCAUUUGACAACUCUGACCUUGAGAGUGGGAGUCUAAAUUGGACACUAACUUGAGGAGGGCUAUGAGACUCCAUCUACUCAAAGGGCCAGAGCCCUGGGGCUAGAUCCCACAAAGAUCCAAUUAUCUCUCCUUAUCAACUCACAUGGAUAAUUAUUUCCUUUACAUUUAUAUCACACAGGGGACUAUUUUGGGAUUCCCCCAUCCGCCCUGGAAAAGAAGCCAGCUCCAAAGAUAAGCUGACCUCUCCAUCAUCAGAGAAAGAAAACCAUCAACAAAUUUUAAGGAACCUGUUACCAGCUUAAAAGAAAAUAGUACCAUAUAUACGUAUUUAUAGUGCAUCUUUAAAAGAAUUAGAGUAUAUAUAUUUAAUUUUUUAACUGUGAUGAUUGCUUCCUGCUCCUCUCCUCCUUCAUGGGCUCCCUGGAGUCCGUGCAAGCUGGCCAGGAUGUCUCAGGCUGAGUCUGAGAAAGCUGUGGAAGAUGUUAAGCACCUUAAGACCAAGCCAGGGGAUGAUGAGAUGCUGUUCAUCUAUGGCCACUACAAACAAGCAACUGUGGGCUACCUAAAUACUUGGGAUGUUGGACUUCAAGGGCAAGGCCAGGUGGGAUGCCUGGAAUGAGCUGAAAGGGACUACCAAGGAAGAUGCCAUGAAAGCUUAUGUCAACAAAGUAGAAGAGCUAAAGAAAAAAACACGAAAUGUAAGAGACUGGAUUUGAUUGCCAGCCAUGCAUUUAUCCUAAGCUGAGACAAUGCCUUGUUUUUUCCAAUACUGAAGACGCGAAUUAGGGAAAAUAACGAGUUAACCCAGCUCCUCAAGGCUGCUCACCACAGAACUCAAACAGAUUAGGUGCUGAAAUGAUUACUGACCUUCCUUGAGUAGUUUUCUGAGAUCAGUUAAAAGUGUAUUUGUGACUUAAAAAAAUUAUAAUGAACACAGGUUUUGGAUAAUUAAGGAGCAACCUCAAGUUUCUGAGAUCCAUUAUUAUAGAAGCAUGGAGUAACAAUAGGACAUUCCAGUUAACAGGAGCCUGAACGCAAGAUCAUUUGUUGUAUUUAUUAUGUAUUUGCAUGCACAUUGCAAGAUCUUAAGAAAUUCACUAAGUAGUCAUAACCUUUGCUUUCUAGGAAUCUUGAAUACGAAGUAAAAGAUGGGCAUUUUCAUGAUCAUCCCAGUGUAAACCUGACACACCCCAGCAUUAUUAACAUUAUUCCAGAUAAUAUCUGAAUUUCCUUCCACUUUCACUGUGGGUAUUGGAAGGGCAAAGAGUAGAAAACAACAACUUAGGGAAUGAGCAAACAUGGAAUUGGAAUUUGUAAACCAUAUUCAGGAAGAGACAGCUUUGGCUAGAGCAAUAGUUUUAAUGGUUUAAUGGUUUUUCAUUUUUUUUAAGGGUUCUGUUUAGACAUUUCAGAAUUCUUUGAACUUCCUACUGGCACAUGGGGAGUGGGCAUCAAGUGGGUGGGGCUAUGAUGUUCUUAGACACUACAAUGAACUGAAUGCUUACAUUUCCCCCAAAACUUAUAUGUUCAAAUCCUAUCUUCAAAUGUGAUGGUAUUAGGAGGUGAGGCCUUUGGAAAGUGAUUAGAUCAUGAGGAUGGAGCCCUCAUGAAAGGGACUAGUGCCCUAAAGUAACCCCAGUUAGCUCUCUGGUUCUCCUUCUGCCAGGUGAGGAUUUAAUGAGAAGACAGCAGUCUGCAGCCUAGAAGAAAGCCCUCACCAGAACACAACCUUGCUAGUACCCUGUGUGAGUCUAUUUUUACAUUGCUAUAAAGAAAUACCUGAGGCUAAGUGAUUUAAAAAGAAAAUAAGUUUAAUUGGCUCACAGUUCUGCAGGCUGUACGGAUGCAUGGUGCUGGCAUCUGCUUCUGGUAAGGAACUCAGGAAGCUUACAAUCAUGGCAGAAGGCAAAGAGGGAGCCAGUGUUCUCACGUCUGAGAGUGGGAGCUGCAGAGAGAGAGGUCCCAGACUCUUUUAAACAGCCAGAUCUCACAUGAACUAACAGCGAGAACUCAUUUUCUACCAAGGGGAUGGUGCUAAACCAUUCCUGAUAGUUUCACUUCCAUGAUCCAGUCACCUCCCACCAGGCCCCACUUCCAACAUUGGGAUCACUGUUCAACAUAGAUUUGCAGGGGACAAACAUUCAAACCAUCUAAUACCUUGAACUCGGACUUCCAGCCUCCAGAUCAGAAGAAAUAGAUAUAAGUUGUUUAUAAGCCAGCUAGGAGGCUGUCAACUUAGAACCUAUCUUUUUGGAGUGACCUUGAAUACAUUUUCUCUUAUCUAGAAGGAUCUCUACAGUGAGUUGUUUCAGAUAUGUGGGGUCUAGAACCAGACUGAUGGAUUCAAGUUCUGCCCUGCCACUUACUUGUUCUACUGCCUUGAGUAAGUUAAAUAACCUUUCUGUGCCUUAGUUUUCUCAUCAGUAGGAUGACAUCAAUAUUAGAAUUUCCCUUAUAAGCUUGUUAUGAGAAUUAAUGCAUUAAUACAAGGAUUGGUAAAUUUUUUCUGUAAAGAACCAGAUAAUAAAUAGUUUAGGCUUUGUGGACUAUGUAGUCUCUGUGGCAACUACUCAAGUAUGCCCUUGUAUUAAAUAGAAUGGGAGCAACCAUAGAUAAUACCUGAAUAACUUGGUGUGGCUAUGUUCCAAUAAAGCCUUACAAAAACAGGCAGUGGGCUGAAUUUGGCCUGCAGGAUGUAGUUUGCCAAUCCCUGGAAUACUUAUGCACUAAUACUUAGACCCGUUGUAAGAACGCCAAAAAUAUUAGCUUUAAAAAAAAAUUAUCAUGGUCAUCAUCAUUAUCGUCAUCAUAUACAUUCACUCACUCAACAAAGGAUAAUAAAUCCUACUAUGUGCUAAUU
Molecule: non-coding RNA, 10832 nt
Organism: Callithrix jacchus (white-tufted-ear marmoset)
Lineage: Eukaryota; Metazoa; Chordata; Mammalia; Primates; Cebidae
Source: RefSeq, a predicted model, not a curated record